This 225-nucleotide ribosomal RNA is filed under the name uncultured bacterium. RNAcentral's name for it is "partial 16S ribosomal RNA". It matches the Rfam family "Bacterial small subunit ribosomal RNA", at positions 109 to 334 of the family's 1533-position model. The record is from RNAcentral.
CGUAACACGUAUGUAACCUACCCUUAUCAGGGGGAUAGCCUCUCGAAAGAGAGAUUAAGCCCGCAUAACAUUAUUUAGCAGCAUUGUUGAAUAAUCAAAUAUUUAUAGGAUAAGGAUGGGCAUGCGGAACAUUAGCUAGUUGGUAAGGUAACGGCUUACCAAGGCGACGAUGUUUAGGGGAUCUGAGAGGAUGACCCCCCACACUGGUACUGAGACACGGACCAG